CCUGGCUUAGGAUGAACGCUAGCGGCAGGCUUAACACAUGCAAGUCGAGGGGCAACGCGAGUAGCAAUACUUGGCGGCGACCGGCGCAAGGGUGCGUAACGCGUGAGCAACAUGCCCGUAUCAGGGGGAUAAUCCAGGGAAACUUGGUCUAAUACCCAUAGUAAUUUUGUAAGGCAUCUUAUAAGAUUUAAAGCUUUGGUGGAUACGGAUUGGCUCGCGUGACAUUAGCUGGAUGGUAAGGUAACGGCUUACCAUGGCUAUGAUGUCUAGGGGUUCUGAGAGGAAGGUCCCCCACACUGGAACUGAGACACGGUCCAGACUCCUACGGGAGGCAGCAGUGAGGAAUAUUGGACAAUGGAUGGAAAUCUGAUCCAGCCAUGCCGCGUGAAGGAAGAAGGUCCCUAUGGAUUGUAAACUGCUUUUGUAUGGGAGCAAUAAGGGCUACGCGUAGUCCGAUGAGAGUACCAUACGAAUAAGCACCGGCUAACUCCGUGCCAGCAGCUGC
Molecule: ribosomal RNA, 505 nt
Filed under: uncultured bacterium
Lineage: Bacteria
Description: bacterial SSU rRNA
Rfam family: Bacterial small subunit ribosomal RNA
Source: RNAcentral